CCUACGGGGGGCUGCAGUGGGGAAUAUUGCACAAUGGGCGCAAGCCUGAUGCAGCCAUGCCGCGUGUGUGAAGAAGGCCUUCGGGUUGUAAAGCACUUUCAGCGGGGAGGAAGGCGUUAAGGUUAAUAACCUUGGCGAUUGACGUUACCCGCAGAAGAAGCACCGGCUAACUCCGUGCCAGCAGCCGCGGUAAUACGGAGGGUGCAAGCGUUAAUCGGAAUUACUGGGCGUAAAGCGCACGCAGGCGGCCUGUCAAGUCGGAUGUGAAAUCCCCGGGCUCAACCUGGGAACUGCAUUCGAAACUGGCAGGCUAGAGUCUUGUAGAGGGGGGUAGAAUUCCAGGUGUAGCGGUGAAAUGCGUAGAGAUCUGGAGGAAUACCGGUGGCGAAGGCGGCCCCCUGGACAAAGACUGACGCUCAGGUGCGAAAGCGUGGGGAGCAAACAGGAUUAGAUACCCUAGUAGUC
This 465-nucleotide ribosomal RNA is filed under the name uncultured Klebsiella sp. RNAcentral describes it as "bacterial SSU rRNA". It matches the Rfam family "Bacterial small subunit ribosomal RNA", at positions 338 to 795 of the family's 1533-position model. Lineage: Bacteria; Pseudomonadati; Pseudomonadota; Gammaproteobacteria; Enterobacterales; Enterobacteriaceae. The record is from RNAcentral.